UGACAGUCGAGAAGAUCAUGCUCAGC
Molecule: non-coding RNA, 26 nt
Filed under: Rattus norvegicus (Norway rat)
Lineage: Eukaryota; Metazoa; Chordata; Mammalia; Rodentia; Muridae
Source: RNAcentral